This 1473-nucleotide ribosomal RNA is filed under the name Alvinocaris lusca. RNAcentral describes it as "SSU rRNA". It matches the Rfam family "Eukaryotic small subunit ribosomal RNA", at positions 394 to 1804 of the family's 1831-position model. The record is from RNAcentral. Lineage: Eukaryota; Metazoa; Arthropoda; Malacostraca; Decapoda; Alvinocarididae.
GCCUGAGAAACGGCUACCACAUCCAAGGAAGGCAGCAGGCACGCAAAUUACCCAAUCCCAGCUCUGGGAGGUAGUGACGAAAAAUAACAAUGCGGGACUCUUCCGAGUCUGCGUAAUUGGAAUGAGCACACUUUAAAUCCUUUAGCAACAACCAAUUGGAGGGCAAGUCUGGUGCCAGCAGCCGCGGUAAUUCCAGCUCCAAUAGCGUAUAUUAAAGUUGUUGCGGUUAAAAAGCUCGUAGUCCGAGUUCAGUUCCGGACUGGCCGGGGAGGUCACCGCCCGGUGCUUCCCCGUCAGGCUCCGAACAGCUUUUAUGACUAAAAGCCAAGCCGGUUUUCGCCGGGGUGCUCUUCACCGAGUGUCCCGCGCGGCCGGCCAGUUGACCUUGAAUAAAUGAGAGUGCUCAAAGCAGGCUACUCUUAAAAAUAAAGCCCGAAUGUUACCUGCAUGGAAUGAUGGAAGAUGAUCUCGGUUCCAUUUUAUUGGUUCUGGGAGUCCGAGUUAAUGAUAAACAGGGACUGUCGGGGGCAUCCGUACUACGACGCGAGAGGUGAAAUUCAGUGACCGUCGUAGGACGAACAACAGCGAAAGCAUUUGCCAAGAAUGUCUUCGUUGAUCAAGAACGAAAGUUAGAGGAUCGAAGGCGAUCAGAUACCGCCCUAGUUCUAACCCUAAACGAUGCUGACUAGCAAUCCGCCGUCGUUAUUCCCAUGACGUGGCGGGACGCCCCCGGGAAACCUCAAGUCUUUGAGUUCCGGGGGUAGUAUGGUUGCAAAACUGAAACUUAAAGGAAUUGACGGAAGGGCACCACCAGGAGUGGAGCCUGCGGCUUAAUUUGACUCAACACGGGAAACCUCACCAGGCCCGGACACCAGAAGGAUUGACAGAUUAAGAGCUCUUUCUCGAUUUGGUGGGUGGUGGUGCAUGGCCGUUCUUAGUUGGUGGAGUGAUUUGUCUGGUUAAUUCCGGUAACGAACGAGACUCUGGCCUACUAAAUAGUCGACGUGGGUUUUGGUGCAUGGGCCCCGUUCGACAAUGUCUUCUUAGAGGGAUGAGCAGCGAGUAUAGCUGCAGGAGAUUGAGCAAUAACAGGUCUGUGAUGCCCUUAGAUGUCCUGGGCCGCACGCGCGCUACACUGAAUGGGUUAGCGGGUUCUCCUUCUCCGAGAGGAGAGGGAAAUCGCGUGAAAACCAUUCGUGAUAGGGAUUGGGGCUUGCAAUUGUUUCCCAUGAACGAGGAAUUCCCAGUAAGCGCAAGUCAUCAGCUUGCGUUGAUUAAGUCCCUGCCCUUUGUACACACCGCCCGUCGCUACUACCGAUUGAAUGAUUUAGUGAGGCCUUCGGACUGGCGGUCUUGGACUGGGCUCCACUCGCCAUCACUCCAGCAAUGGAGGGCGGUGGACUCGCCAUGACGAGCCGGAAAGAUGUCCAAACUUGAUCAUUUAGAGGAAGUAAAAGUCGUAACAAGGUUUCC